AUGAACGCUGGCGGCGUGCCUAAUACCUGCAAGUCGAGCGAACAGACGAGGAGCUUGCUCCUCUGACGUUAGCGGCGGACGGGAGAGUAACACGUGGAUAACCUACCUAUAAGACUGGGAUAACUUCGGGAAACCGGAGCUAAUACCGGAUAAUAUAUUGAACCGCAUGGUUCCAUAGUGAAAGCCGGUUUUGCUGUCACUUAUAGAUGGAUCCGCGCCGCAUUAGCUAGUUGGUAAGGUAACGGCUUACCAAGGCAACGAUGCGUAGCCGACCUGAGAGGGUGAUCGGCCACACUGGAACUGAGACACGGUCCAGACUCCUACGGGAGGCAGCAGUAGGGAAUCUUCCGCAAUGGGCGAAAGCCUGACGGAGCAACGCCGCGUGAGUGAUGAAGGUCUUCGGAUCGUAAAACUCUGUUAUUAGGGAAGAACAAAUGUGUAAGUAACUAUGCACGUCUUGACGGUACCUAAUCAGAAAGCCACGGCUAACUACGUG
RNAcentral lists this ribosomal RNA (496 nucleotides) under uncultured bacterium. RNAcentral's name for it is "partial 16S ribosomal RNA". It matches the Rfam family "Bacterial small subunit ribosomal RNA", at positions 29 to 507 of the family's 1533-position model. The record is from RNAcentral.